GUAAAUCGUACAUGAUUUUUAUCUGUGUUUAAGGUGACCAGCAAUUCAAGAUUGCUGUUGAUGGGUUACUUGUCAAUGACCACAUCACCUCUCCCAUUGUGGCCUUGAGCUACGUCUUCUCCAUGUUUUAUGUCUGCAACGUCCAAUACCCACCGGAGAUGGCUUUUACUCUCGAAUUCAUGCAAAGAGUUUUCUUUGGGGUCAAUCCUGAGCGAGGCUCCAAGGCAGAGAAGAAGGGGAAGAAACGGCACUUCAUACCUCCACAGGUGUGCAAGCUGGUUUCUCAGCUGAAGGAAUUUGAAUGCAAGCAGAAGGAAUCUGAAUGGGCCAUUUGAGCUGUUCUCAGAGCUCAGAAAAUACCUUUUUGGACUGAAUGUACACACACACACACACACACACACACACACACACACACACACACACACACACACACACACACACA
This is a long non-coding RNA of Oreochromis niloticus (Nile tilapia), 442 nucleotides long. RefSeq lists it as uncharacterized. The record is from RefSeq and is a predicted model, not a curated record. Lineage: Eukaryota; Metazoa; Chordata; Actinopteri; Cichliformes; Cichlidae. The transcript is spliced from 2 exons.